This is a non-coding RNA of Enterococcus faecium DO, 252 nucleotides long. Lineage: Bacteria; Bacillati; Bacillota; Bacilli; Lactobacillales; Enterococcaceae. The record is from Rfam.
UCGUUAAUGGGAAAAAGUCUGUAUCUUUUGCUUCUUUAGAGGCCACAGCUGCACUUAAGACUACUGUAUCUCCAUAACGGACUAAAACGGCUCCGUUUGCUUGUUUUGCUAGCUGACCGACUUCGAUUUGUAAGGGACGGCCGCCCCAUGUCGUUUUGAAUACUUGUUUUUCUGACAUAACUUCUCCUUUUCCUUCUCGUGAAAGCAAGACGCUACUAAACAAAUGAAAACUGCCGAAAGCCGUCUUUUGAG